CAAACUGGAGAUGGCGACCGGCGCACGGGUGAGUAACACGUAUCCAACCUGCCGAUAACUCGGGGAUAGCCUUUCGAAAGAAAGAUUAAUACCCGAUGGCAUAAUAGAACCGCAUGGUUUGAUUAUUAAAGAAUUUCGGUUAUCGAUGGGGAUGCGUUCCAUUAGGCAGUUGGUGGGGGUAAUGGCCCACCAAACCUUCGAUGGAUAGGGGUUCUGAGAGGAAGGUCCCCCACAUUGGAACUGAGACACGGUCCAAACUCCUACGGGAGGCAGCAUG
This 277-nucleotide ribosomal RNA is filed under the name uncultured bacterium. RNAcentral describes it as "partial 16S ribosomal RNA". It matches the Rfam family "Bacterial small subunit ribosomal RNA", at positions 77 to 353 of the family's 1533-position model. The record is from RNAcentral.